CCGGGAGUGGAAGUCACAAAAGGUGGAUUCUGUCAGGAAACGGCCUUCAACGUCUGAUAUUACACAGAAUGUUGAUGAAGAGACUUGCUCAUAUGAGAGUUGUGGGGAAAUGGAUCCUGCUGAUUGGACAGAUGAGGAAAAGUCUAUUUUUAUGCGAGCUGUGUCAUCGUAUGGAAAGGACUUUACUACAAUCUCACAUUGUGUCAGGACAAGGUCCAGGGACCAGUGUAAGGUGUUCUUUAGCAAGGCUCGGAAGUGCCUUGGACUGGAUUCAGUACAUCCUGGACCUGAAAACGUUAGAACACCAGUGAGUGAUGAUGCAAAUGGUGGUGGAAGUGACACAGAAGAUGGUGCUGAUGAGUCUGGCUCAGUUAUCUGCAGUGAAAAGUUGUGCUCCAAGACAGAUGAUAACUUACCUGUCAUGAAUGCAAAGCAGCAUGAGGAAUCUGAUGCUCUGGAGAUGAAAAAUUUGACUACUGACUUGAAUAGAUCCAAGGAUAGCAAUGUGGCUGGACUGUUAGGUCCAAAGGUUGAAAAAACGUUUGUUUCUGAUGUUUGCAAGAUGGAGAACAAGCCUGAGCUAGCUUUUGACAAUCGCAACAAAAUCAUGGAUGGUUUUGUCCACCAAUCUGAGUCAGUGCUGGCCUCGGAAGUUUCAAAUGAAUCAGUCGGUUCAGAAGCUGGAAUAGAGAAACCAAUUGAAGAUGAUAUUGCUGUUGGAGAUGCAGUGGAUCCUCGCACAUCGAAUCCAGUUGCUGCUGCUGAUGUCAAAGCUAUAGCAGAGGCUUCUGCUAAUGGAAGUGUAAAUCAUUAUUUGAACACCCAAAGUGACUUGGUGCAGGAUUCAAAUGAUUCUAGAAAUUUUUCCCACCAGCCUUUGGGUAUGGGUUCCUGUUCGAACUUCAUUCUAUGUGUGGAAAACAUGCCUCAUGUAUCUGUGGAAUUUGAUUCUGUGGAUAAGUCUCCUAUUGUCUCAUCACUGCAGGAAAAUAAACUUGCUACUUCUAAUUCUGUGUUACAAGACACUGCUGCCAUUCAAUGCAGGAAAUUGCAUAAUCAGGAUAGGCUUUCAUCACAACUUGAUAUUCAGGAGCAUAGAGAUGAGCAGGGUAAAAAAUCUGUCAGUGGGGAUGAUCAUUCACAGCAUUUGGCAGCACAAUCUUUAGUGAAUCACAAUGAGUCUUCCCAGAUUCUUGGGGCCUAUCCACUUCAAAUUACAACAAAGAGAGAGAUGAACGGGAAUAUUCCUUGCAGACCUCAUUCUGAACUUCAAAGCCUUUCAAUGUCAGACAGGAAUGCUGCCAAUCAGUUUGUAGCUCAAGAUUGUUAUCUUCAAAAGUGUAGCAAUUCAAAGGCUCAGCACCCAGUCUCUGAGCUUCCACUUCUCUCCCAGCACACUGGGCAAGGCAAUGAUCAUUCGGGAGACCAAUCGCAGAGUUCAUCAGAGGUGGAAAAGCCAUGCAGAAAUGGUGAUGUUAAACUGUUUGGCAAAAUACUCAGUAACCCCUCAUCUUCGCCUAAGCUGAAUCCUAGCAUCAUUGAGAAUGUGGAACAAGGGACACAGAGUUCUAAGACAGUUAGCAAGUCAUCAACUUUGAAAUUCUCUGGUCAUCAAACUACUGAUGGGAGCUCUUCUGUCUUGAAGUUUGAUCGAAAUAAUUAUCUUGGCCCUGAGAAUGUUCCCAUGAAGAGUUAUGGCUUUUGGGAUG
This 1709-nucleotide unclassified non-coding RNA is filed under the name Hevea brasiliensis (rubber tree). Lineage: Eukaryota; Viridiplantae; Streptophyta; Magnoliopsida; Malpighiales; Euphorbiaceae. The record is from RNAcentral.